This is a long non-coding RNA of Macrobrachium nipponense, 434 nucleotides long. RefSeq lists it as uncharacterized. The transcript has 2 exons. NCBI's taxonomy places the organism in Eukaryota, Metazoa, Arthropoda, Malacostraca, Decapoda, Palaemonidae. The record is from RefSeq and is a predicted model, not a curated record.
AAAUUACGCUACGAGUCGAGAGCUUCUGUCAAAAUGUCAUCUGUGAGCCACAACAUUACCGAACUUUGUUUGUCCCGUGUGCGUGUAUUUUCAGGGGUUUCCACUGCAUUUGUUAUGUCGUAUUAAGGGAAAUUACAAGCCCCUUAAAAUCUUUCUAUCCAGCAAUGGAAAUUUAUCAAAACAGAGGUAAGGUCGCUAUUAUGAAAACAAUAUUGAACCGCUUUGGAAAUUCGGUCGUCGAGCUCAGUCACUACAUCAUUACAAUAUUUUCAAUAUCUUAUAUAAGGGAAAUUGACUAUACAAAGGGAUAUCCAGUACUCAUAAUUGAGGAGAAGAGGAAAUUCAAAGCUGAGCUAUGGUGAGUACAAUUUAAUUUUUAAGUAAUAUAAGAAUUUAUUUAAGAUGAGAAUGACAAGACUCUGAAAAUAAUUCCC